This 763-nucleotide ribosomal RNA is filed under the name uncultured bacterium. RNAcentral's name for it is "bacterial SSU rRNA". It matches the Rfam family "Bacterial small subunit ribosomal RNA", at positions 21 to 794 of the family's 1533-position model. The record is from RNAcentral.
GGCUCAGAACGAACGCUGGCGGCGUGCCUAACACAUGCAAGUCGAACGAGAAAGUUUCUUCGGAAACGAGUAAAGUGGCGCACGGGUGAGUAACACGUGAAUAAUCUGCCUUCGAGACUGGGAUAACUUGACGAAAGUUAAGCUAAUACCAGAUAAGACCACGCUUCACAAGGAGUGCGGGAAAAGGGAUCUCAAAUCCUGCUCGUAGAUGAGUUCGCGUACCAUUAGCUUGUUGGUGAGAUAAAAGCUCACCAAGGCGACGAUGGUUAGCCGGCCUGAGAGGGUGAUCGGCCACACUGGAACUGAGACACGGUCCAGACUCCUACGGGAGGCAGCAGUGGGGAAUCUUGCGCAAUGGGCGAAAGCCUGACGCAGCAACGCCGCGUGAGCGAUGAAGGCCUUCGGGUCGUAAAGCUCUGUCAAGUGGGAAGAACACAAUGACGGUACCACUAGAGGAAGCCCCGGCUAACUUCGUGCCAGCAGCCGCGGUAAUACGAAGGGGGCAAGCGUUGUUCGGAAUUAUUGGGCGUAAAGCGUAUGUAGGUGGUUUAUCAAGUCAGACGUGCAAGCCCUCGGCUCAACCGAGGAAUUGCGUUUGAAACUGAUAGACUUGAGUGUAGGAGAGGAAAGCGGAAUUCCCAGUGUAGCGGUGAAAUGCGUUGAUAUUGGGAAGAACACCGGUGGCGAACGCGGCUUUCUGGCCUGCUACUGACACUGAGAUACGAAAGCCAGGGGAGCAAAGGGGAUUAGAUACCCCCGUAGU